CCACGGCCACGACUCCACUUCUGUGACCUCUCGCCGCCCCGCCCCGCCCCGCGGCGACACUCGCCACGCCGUGCGCGCUUAUGCAGGCGCCUGACCCGCCGUGUCGAGCGAGGCGCUGCGCUGGGCUCGCCACCGCCGCCGCCGCGCGUCGAUCGGGGCCAAAUAACAGCAAUAACCCGCGGCCCACACCGCCGCGCUCAAAGUAAUAACCGUCGCGCUGCACCGGUUUUUUUUCGGCGCGAGCGCGCGGCGGUCGCGGUAAAACCACGGCAGUUAGUCGUUCGUCUCUCUCGCACCGCUGCUCGCGCCGCGCGCGCCGCAUGUUCCGUCUCGCUCGCACACCAGUAGUAGUCACGUGUCGUCGCAAGCAACAGGUAGCCGGCGUCCUCGCCGCGCCGCGCCGGCCGCGCCUCACGUGAGGGGCACGGCGGCGUGGUGACGGUGACGCCCGCACCCGCACCGCACCGCGCGCCCGCACCGCACCGCACGGCAUCGGGACCAACGAGAUGCAGAGCGAUGCCGCGCCGAAGACACACGGCCACGACACACCGCCCCGGGUCACGUGGACGGGGCUACACGUGACCGGCGGGGAUACUCGCUCGCGAGUGUCGGCGCGGCGCACGACGUUAUACGGCCGACGGCUGCUUCGAAAGCACGGGGCGCCGCGAUGGUAUAGAGAAGACACACACCGGCAGCGCCACGGGGGCACUUGACGGCGCGGGUCCGAGUCCACCGCGGCGGUCGUCGUCGGGCACCUUGUACCCACCGCGGGGUCAGCGACUCGCGCCACUCCUCGCUAUCAGGAGACGCGACGGGCGACGGGAGCCACUCGAGCACGCGCUCCUCGUCGCGUCCCGGUGCAGCUCGUGCAGGCCCUCAUCCGCACCGGGCAACCUGAUCCCCGGGCCGGCCGGAGUCCGCGCGGCCAUAACGUCCGAUACGGCAGAAAGAGAAAGAGAGAGAGAGAGUGAGUGAGAGAGUAGAGAGUGUGAGCGAGAGAGAAAGAGAGAGAGAGAGAGGGGUGUCGCGCCAUCAAACCACUGAUGGCUCCUGCGGCUGUAUCGCUGACGGAUCUCAAUACCAGAUUGGGGAUGGUGAUUGUCGCGACGGUGAACGCCGCCGCUCUGGCCUCUCUCUCGCUCCCUCCUCCGGUUACCGAAAAAUAAAAAUAGAAACUGAAAAAAAUACGAAACAUUGGUCUCAUCCGCGUUGAUAGCGGGUAAGGUCAUAACUUAGGCGCGCUGUCCCGACGCGGCGGCAGCGGAUCGCCUCUCGCUACGACGAGAGUGACCGGGGAGAUAGGGAGUGGCCCUGCUGGGCUCACCGCCGGUAUCGACCCGCGCCGAGAGUGGUCACAGUCCAAACGACAAACCUCUUCAGGACGCUGCCUAUAUGUGCCCUGCGACGUGACAGAGUCGAGACCGGACCAACAAAAACAGGAGGCAUCACGUCGUGUCCCGAAGAGCCCCGCACCCUCGAAGUCCAACCCUUUGUGCCCUACGGCGAGCCGUACGGCCCUACCGGGGUCCAGGGUCCCCACAAGCGGUUUGUUUUUUUGACUGGCGAGACCGCUUCCGAGAUUUUUGGUCAGGCUGACCGUGUGCGCUACGGGCGAUGGAAGCCUCCCAAGACAGUGGCGUGACGCCCCGAGUGCGAGAGAGAGACGCUCCAAAGAGGUGUGACGACGCCCGCUCCUUGAAUGGCCCGCCUUGUCGGACCCAACAGCCUCCGCCUGGACCAGCUCGUAUCCAUCACGAUACGUAUAGUCGAAGCCUAUCCUCUCUCCCCCUUCACCGCCGACCUUUUUUUAUGCCCUUCCAAACGCGUUAUAUACGUUUUCCCGUCCACCAAUCAGCGAUUUUCACGACGCCGACAAACUGCCUCUAAUGGAGUUUGAGAGCCCCGGUCGCUUGUGUGUGUGAGUUUAUAAGCAGCAGCAGCAGCAGGCUCGAGGAGGUUUUCGUAUGAGAAAUCGUACGGCACCCAAUAUUUCUCCGCGACGCCGCCGCCGUGCAGAGUUUUCGCGCGGCAGCAACAAGACGCGCCCAUUUAUUCGCAUGGUUUUUGCGGCGGUGGCAGCCGCGCGCCUAACGAGCCAUCUUUAUGUCGCAGGCGAAGCGUGUGUCCAGGCUGGCCAACGCCGACCGCGCAAAAGCAAAAGCGGCGCGGCGGCUGCGGCGAAGGCGGCCCCCAACGGUUUCUUCAGCAGGCCGGCGCGGGGGCUCAUUCCUUAGCCAUGAUUGAUGAAUCAGGAUUGCAAGCGUCUUAUAUGAUGUGACCUGGAAACUACACAAACACGUUGUCUGUCCGGCCGGCCGCCCGUCGCCGCCACGCCCGCCUGCAGGCCGACGUUGCUGCUGCUGCUCGCCACUGUGGCUUCGCUUAUAUGUAGUAUAUAAUAACAACAACAACGUUCGGGCGACAGAAUGACGAAAAAACCAGACGAUUUACAUGAUUUUUAACAUUUUUUCUAAAGUCUAUUAAAAAGGUGGCCCUAGGACCCGCAUAGGAUAAGCCCCGGCAUAAGGGCGGCGGCUGGGACCGCCGCUGCUUCCGCGUUCCAUCACAGAUUCCUUCCUGUUCCUCCCCCAGGUGCGGCGGCUGCUUCCUACUCCGAUAUACAUACUCCAUACAUUACCCAUACAACACUGCGUACUUCCGCGUGGCCAGUAAAAAACGCAA
Molecule: long non-coding RNA, 2682 nt
Organism: Frankliniella occidentalis (western flower thrips)
Lineage: Eukaryota; Metazoa; Arthropoda; Insecta; Thysanoptera; Thripidae
Exons: 3
Source: RefSeq, a predicted model, not a curated record